RNAcentral lists this long non-coding RNA (10593 nucleotides) under Solanum lycopersicum (tomato). Its description in RNAcentral is "long non-coding RNA (SLYC_LNC000506)". The record is from RNAcentral. Lineage: Eukaryota; Viridiplantae; Streptophyta; Magnoliopsida; Solanales; Solanaceae.
AAGGGAAGCGUGUACGUUGUCACACUCCCAGCCUUCCAAAGGUACCUAGAGGACGGGCCAGACGCAGCAGAGCGACGACCGGGGAGCGGGUUCCCCACUGGAAGGGGACAGGAGACGGCCAUCUCAAGGCACAUCACGACCUACAGGCAACACCGGCGAGACCUGGGAAAGCAACCCGAUUGGGUGUCAGAGGAUCCAUAGUACCUGCAGCCUCCCGGACUUCAUAUUCAUCAUUUUCAAAAGCGAGGGGAAGGGAUCUCUUUUCUGCAACGGAAAAAAAAAGGGAGCAGAUUUGACUCGGCACAACCUAACGAUACAUCCAAUACCAAUGAUCUGUGCCUAGAAUGCGUUGCUAGAUCUCUGCUCUAGAAAGCUAUACAGGGAACAAUUAACGCGCUUUGACCCCGGGCUUCCCUUUCAUUACUUCUUUCACGACGAGAGAACCGCGUCCGCAUCAGUCGAAGUUGUGGUUAAUGUUCUUUAAAUAAAGCUCCGUUGAACCCCUACUUGAAAGGGAGAAUAGCGGAGUUGUUGUACAGCCUAAGGUCUUUUCCUACAGAGAAAGUGUCUAACUACCUGCAAAUUCUGACCUGGACCCUUCUAUUGCAAUUAUAAGCUUCUUGAUGUACUUUAUCGUAUAAAGGCCAAAGUAGGCCAAAACGGACAAAUUCAUUGUCAGUCUUUCAGCGUCUUCCUUAUGUGUGAUGCAUGUGCCCUGUUCAAAUAGACUAUUCUUGUCGUUUAGUAGCAUUCGAAUGGUUUAUCUUGGAAAUCAAAUUCCAGAGGAUUGGCCUCUUGCUAGCUACUUUACCGAGUAAGUUAGUAAGUGAUUGAGGGCUACCUCUGCCCAACUCUUACCACAGGCUGGCUUCGACAGAUGUCAGAGUGAAUCCGAUUCUUCGAUUCAAUUACUUUUCCAAUUCCAACCCCGCGCGUGGAUGUAGAAAAGUGUGUGAAUGGCAUACGCAAGAUUGGGGAUGGACAACGGAAAUUCAUUUAGUAUAGUCAGCUAGGAAGCACUAGCUAGGCAAGUCAUACUGGGAAUGGACUCCACCCCGAUUAAGAUCCUCUAAAAGGGUAUAGAGCCUCUCCAACAACUCUUCCCCAUUGGCGGUCCUAGGAUUAUCUAGGGCCCGAGCCCCACGUUGCUCCCAAUCGCCCACCGGAUCAAGAAGCGCCAUCCGCCUUAUUAUGUCAACUUUGACCUCGACCGAGCCACCAGGAGACUGGUAGUCGUACUAACAGCUUGAAGUUGUGUCUUGAAGGCUUGCCCCCGACCCCCAACCUAGGAACAACACUAAGACGUUUCAUUUCCAUUUUUUUGGUUAAAAGCAUCGCAUAGUAUAGUGAUAGUGCCCGGUCCGCAGCUGCGGAGUCCGCCUUCCCUUGAAAACACCUCCCAGUGGGGAGGUUUAUAGUACAGAUGUACGCUAAGGAAUAUUAUUAGUAAGACAGGCGUAUAAAGUGCAUAUUUACUAUAGCUUCAAAAGAAAAUAAAUCCUUAUUCGGGUGUUCUGGUGGUGCCCCCGUCUGGUCUACUAUCGUCUUUUCACCGCCAGUAGACUACUUUGGCCCACCAAAUGGCACAACCACAGUAGGUGGCUUGGCUCCCUCUUGCUCUGGUCUACACUCCCCUUGUGAGUCGCCACCCUCAUGUACUACUUUACUAUAAACACAAAACUACUACAGAUAGACUAGAACAUUUCUUAUGUCAAACCAUUCGAUUGAAUGCAGUCUCUGAUGUCAAUGACACGAAAAAGGGAUAUAUACAAUGAAUAGAAUAUACUGCUAGAGUAUUUGAAAGCAUCUGCAAAGCCAACAACGGGCACAGUCGAUCGUAGAUCCCACAUGAUGCCUUGUACCCUCACCCAACCUUGUCUCUUGCCUGUCGACUUGAGUCGAGCUAACUUUCGAUCGAGGACUACCGGUGAAAAGUGUUUGUAGCGUCAAUUCCUUUCGGUGUACAUCUCACCCAAAACAAAAUACCAGAAAACAUAAGUUGCCAGCUCAUAUCUAUCUCUGACCUUGAUCGAACAAAAGCCGUUUGAUCAUAUAUAAAAACACAUACUCAUCGUGGUCGUUCCUCAGCCUCCCGCACCCAUAUUCCUAAACACCCUAGGAGGAGAAUAAGGAUAGCUAGUCACGGACGAUUUUCUCACCUACAUAGUAUACAAUCCAAGACUUCCUAGCUAGAGUCUAGACGGUAUCAAACCACGGGACAGGGAAAAAAGAGCAGCUUUCUAGGUUCUGCCAUUGUAGGGUCAAAAAUAAUAAUAAAAAACGAAAUAGAAGUGACGCCUGGUUCGCCAAAGUACCGCUGCCACCAGGGCUUACAUCCUCCUAUCGCCUACUAGCUGCAUGUGUUAUAUACCUACUGCUUCUAUCGAUGGAAAGACCGAAGCACGUCUCCCUAUAGCUUUGACUGCCAGAGGUCGGGAAGAAGGGGGGUGACUGGGCCCUAUCACAAAAUGAGCAAGUUAGCGACUUGUCAAAGCUUGGUGGCAGGUUUUGUCGGAAAAAGAAUUUUUUUCCAGUGGGAGUCUCAUCUGGGUGGCUGGUUCAGUCGCUUUCGAUAACUCAGAUUGACGGGUAGUGAGAUAGCAUACUCGUAUGAUUGAUUUAAAGUCGGCCACUGAUAGAUGGCCUUUGACUCUUCGGACGGGUAUGCUAGAAAGGAUGUUUGGACGUUUACUUGGAUCAUACGUGUAUAACGUGUUUUCCAAGUAAAUGUUUGAUGUUCCUUUUCUGAAGAAGCCUAAGGGGUUUCCUGUCUUGUUUAGGAAUGGACAACUUUUAGGUUAUUACGCCUCUUGGGACCACAAUAAACAAGGGGAAGUCGACUGUUGCUUCUAAAAGGGCCCGGAUACCACCUAAACCAGUGCAAGGUUGUAUUCCCAAGGAAGCUAUCAUAGUAAUAGGGAAUCCAUCUAGUAUUUACUAAGGAAAGAUGGUGCUGGGGGCCCCACUAAGGUGAAUGUUAUUGAACCCAAACAUUAAAAGCCAUGCAAAAAAUUCCUUCUACGUCCAUUGCUACUGUAAGACCACAAACAGGGGGAGAUGAGCAACAUGUGGGGCCUACACACUUGGAACAGCCUCACCAAGAGUCUGCACAGGCCCGGGAGUUAGGUUCUUUUAUCUUACGGAGGAUGAUGAGGAGGAUUUACUCACUGAUGAAGACGCCAUGACUCAAGAUGAGGAAGAGGUUUUUUGCUCAAGUUGGAGUGGAAGCAGUGAGGGGGGCGAGUUCCCUAACCUACGCGAGCCUAAAGAGAAGAGAGUUCAGUCUACGAAGGGUUCGAGUUAUCAGUCCGGAUCAGUCCCACGCAGGCCGCAGAGAAAGAGACAAGGAGGAUGAAGGGGGCACUAUGGGAAGAGCAUCCAAGACGCGCUAAGGCAAAGGCAUAGAGAUCAAACAAAGGCUUAAUAAGCACAGAUUUCCUAGAAAGAAAGAUUUCCUCUCUUAAAGAUGCUUUCUUCCUGUGAUAGAAGUCAAACUCAACAGCUGACGCAACUACUUAUGCACUUCCAGUCCACCCAGACCGGUAGUAGCUGCAAGCCUACUUCUUAUUGCAUUUGAAGGAGGAAUAAGACCAAAAAGAAGGAGAACUAAUGACGGGAAGAGAAGAUAGUUAGUUUCUAAAGGCUGGACCAAUCAAACCAUAUCGUAUCGAACCAUAGCGGGAGCGAGGAGCACAUAUUCUUUAUUACUGACUUUUCGUGGUUGAUCGCACCAAUAGGAGUCGGUGCUUGUGAGUAGGAGAACAUUCUUUAUUGCAAGAUGUUCGUCUACCCGUCGCCUUUGGUCAAAUCAAACAAGAGGCCAGGAAGGACAUUGUUGAAGGCUCACUGAGUGCUUCUAGGUUAAAGGGAGCACUAUACUCACUCCACAGGAACUCACUUUUCGGUUUGCUUCAGAUUUGGCAUUCAUUCCCCCCCUUUCCUGGAUUUCGCGUUAUUGUCUGCUAUGCUAGCCUAUGAUGGAUGAAGGCCUUUCAUUUUGGCUCUGUAGGGCUACCCUAUGGUAUGGGCUGUUAUCUCAAGGGCCUGGUUAGGCUCUUCUUGUUGGAGUAUCCUCGCUCAAAGGCUAAAAUGAAUUCUCUCUUUUCUUUUGGGAGUGCCUGAAGAGACCUGCUUACUGGAAAGUACCAUUCACAAAGAAUGGUGAAAGGGUUACCUACCCAAGGAUCCUCCUUCUCUUACAGAGGUUUACUACUAGCCAUACCCAGCGGGAUACAUAUUGCCCAAAUGGAACCUGAAAGAUGGGAUGGGUGAUCCAUAAGAUCAUUUGGCGAGGUUCAGCCCUGAGCGUGGGGAUCUUUCUGGAAAUCAAAACUGGUUUUGUUGAGGAACGAAGUAGCCCGUCGCUUACCCGCAUUUCUCUUGGUAUACCCACCUGUGUGCCUCUUAAUUCCGUGAAGUCCUUGGAGCAGUGCGAUUUAUUCAGGAUCCUUGUCAAGAAAGAAGUUAGUCCCUUAUUCUUUAUUUUAUGUUAAAAGGUCUGGACUAGAAGAGGGAGUCGAUUCACGUACNNNNNNNNNNNNNNNNNNNNNNNNNNNNNNNNNNNNNNNNNNNNNNNNNNNNNNNNNNNNNNNNNNNNNNNNNNNNNNNNNNNNNNNNNNNNNNNNNNNNCGGUACGGAUUUACUUACUAUUCGACUCAAAGUGGAGGACUACCUAGAUUAGAAUGAGGAUUCAAUAUUUCGUGAUAGUUAUCAUGGAUUGAAAAGGGACGGGCCAAUAGCAACGCAGAAGUUUCAUACAAAGGUGCCUUGAACAGCAGGGAAAAGACGUUUAAAGCGGAGGGAAAACCAAUCUCAGAAGGGAUGGAUGAAAGGGAAAAUUCCUGUGAUUCUUGGUUAGCUGACUAAGAGCGGAUGGAGCGGGCAAAGAGAGCGGCAUUGCUAUAGGUUCGAUUCAUCAAUGUCGGUAUCUCAGUCACAGAUUGAUGUUGUCCUCAAAAUACCCCUUAGUUUUUACUCAACUAUAUCCGUAGUAUCAGGAUUUCGACCACCAAUCGUUCUUAUGGAUCUCGGUAUGUUUGGCUAACUACGAUGGAAUAGAGCCAUUAUAAGUAGAACCCCUUCUUACGAUAUGUCAGAUAGAGCGGGAUCAGUCACGUAAUAGCCCCCAGCCCUUUCCUUACGAUGAUUCAUGCCUUGAUCGUGCCGUAAGAAUGUCGUAUGCAAAUGAAUUCACUUUUGGUAUAGAAUAAAUGGGCGAAAGCCCGAUGCAGCAACUUGCGAGGGGUUGUGCUUUGCUACUUGCUUUGGUUCCAUCUAUUGUAUUUAUCUACAUGGGAAUGAAUUCGUCCGUCAAACCCGCCAUUUGUAUGCACCCGAACAUGUUCAAUCGACCUUCGGCGUAAGCGAUUUCGUACUGCUAUAGGCUCUAGUUAGGACUUAGAUAUGAACACCCCCCUCGUUAGAAUCCACCCUAAAGUUUCUUAGUAAAUAGGGAUCGUUCAGUAAUGACCUAGUCUUUCGCGAGACUUCAGGUUUACCUCUUUUGUUAGGUCUCGAAUUCUCCGUUAUGAUCGCGUUUUGUACCCCUACUAAGAACUUGAGAGACUGAACUAUGACUCACGGAAGCGGUAUAUUAGUGCCUUAUGCGGGAAAUCCUUGCUUGACUUGUUGAUCAUCUAUCAUUACUGGCAAAGCAAGCAUACCGAUAAUCAACUCGCUUGAGAAACAAUUCGAGAAGGAAGACCCCAAGCCAGCCCAAGCAAGAAAGAGGAACUAAAGUCAACUAAUGCUUAAGACAUCCAAGUUCGGACAUCUAAGCCAGUUCCAGUCCUUCCAUCUGCCUCUAUCUCAAUAGCUUUCAAAAUCGAGUGAUUUGAUUAGCUUACAUCGGAGGAUGGUCUAAAGCUGGCCCUUGCUAUCAGUCCAACCAAGGGCACCCCUUCCUAGUCCGCUUAGUCGGUUGAGUAAACAAACCCGGAUUCUAAUAUGGGUCGAGUAGUGAGUUCCACUUUCUCUUCCGCAGCAAGCCUAGUCUACUUUCGUAAAGUCAACAAGGCCUUACGUUUAUCGUUGUUCCCAGACCAUGGCGGAUACCACCAUUGCAAUAGCAUAAGAAGAAUCCGCAUAUUAGUAGGGAAUGUUCCUAACUCCUAACCUCUAGACUGAAACUUCACCUGAAAGCAAGGCUUGAGAGCAAAGGAACCCGCGCAUUACACUACCAAUCCUUGGGCUUGGGCUUUACUUAUUCUUAUUUACAACAAAGGAAAAACCCAGCCAAGUUCUUCUAAAGUCAAUCUUUCUGGCAGCUAUCUAAUACCGGUCAAGAGCUGCUAUUGGACGAACUUUCAUCAAUUCUCUUUCCGGUUUAGUUUCCAAAAGGUGUCAACCAUAAAAAAAGAUCCUGUCCUUCAAAGAUCGAUCUGAUAAUUGCUUAAGUAAGGUAGUCGCUUCUCUUUUUCGGUAUACUGCUCUGCUCGCAGAGCGAAUUAACAUAAAUCUUUCCGAAUAUGAGGAGGAAAGUGAGAUCGUUGUCCGAUCUUUAUCGUUGAAUCCCCAAAUGUGCAUCUUCGAGUGUUUCAGUCGAUCCCCAAUCUCCCAGUAUCAAUAUUUCGGCUGCUCAAGCCGGUACAGGUACAGAAGUGGCUACAACGGAGCAGCUUACUCCUGAGAUGGAUUUACCGAUUGAACUAGAUUUACCCACCCUUUUCACCUUUUUUCUGAAUUAUGGAAUUGAAGUUAUCUAAAAAAUGAACUGACAAAGUGUCUGUUCAUGGAGAUUGUUGUAGUUUCCGUAGUUGCAAGAAUUUCUCACGACUGGGUUGGUGUGAAGUCUACCGCCUGUCUAGCCUAUGCUUUGCAUGAACAUCUCAAUGUCCAAGAUAAAAAGAACGAGGGGAAGAAUCGACGAGGCGAGUGUUCUCGAAGAGAAAAUCGUGAUGGAAAAAGUGUGAGGAGAAUUGAAACUCGAGAUGUUAGAAGGUGCAAAAUCAAUGGGUGCAGGAGCUGCUACAAUUGCUUCAGCGGGAGCUGCUAUCACUAUUUGAAAUGUCCUUAGUUCCUCGAUUCAUUCUGUGGUGCGAAAUCCAUCAUUGGCAAAACAAUUAUUUGGUUAUGCCAUUUUGGGCUUUGCUCUAACCAAAGCUAUUGCAUCGUUUGCCCCAAUGAUGGCCUUUUUUAUCUCAUUCGUAUUCCAAGUUCGUUAGUAAUCGUUUACGGUGGGUGGAUAAGAAGGAAGGGAUCCCUGUGGUUAGACUAACUGGCCGAGAAGGCUAGUGAGGUUCCUGCUAUGGUGAAGUGAAAGAUCUUUCACUAUAGUGGGAAGAAGACAGGUGGGAGCGACCCGAGCGAGAGCAAAACAAGUUUCAGUGGUGGGCUGUCUUCGCGGUCCCAUUUCAUCGGCUUUUUCUAGGCAAGAGUCGCUCGAAUCGAAGUCAAGGUGAGAUUUGGAACCCACAUUGGUCUAUCCCUUUUCUUUGAUAGGCGUAGAAAGUAGUCGUUGAGCUACUUCUCACUGAGUUACUUACAGAGGGGCCGUCGAGAGAGAUUUGCAUGUGUUAGCUAGCCUCAUAUCUUUCUCAAUGUCCGGACAUCUAUCUAAUGCCUUCCUGCUUUCCGGCCUUUCACUUCCCGCUUGAGGAACAGUCUCUGGAUGUUCCAGUAGCUUUGCUUUAUUCUAAGUCAUUUUUUACAAGACCAGCUUGAAGCCUGGAUUUUGAAUUCGAUUCUAUCCUGCUGGGUAAUUAAGGUAGUUUUUUCCUGCUCUGAAGAGAGACCUUGAGGGGGAACAGCUGACCUAAGACACUUGUUGUCUGAUUGCGCCAUCAGCGAAAUCGUCUUUUUUUCUGCGCUAGACAAGAAAGAGAAAGGGGGAAAAGUAAGGCUUCAAGUAAAGGUUCCUAACUCAUUUGAAUUUCGGUCGGGGUAACUAAAAAGAAAUCCAUGACCGAGUUACGAGAGCUAUAACAUGGGUGUAUGCCCCUUUUACCCCCUAUCACCGGAACUACUUAAGCUGGUUGUCCCAACUCAAAGCAAAAAUCAUAUUUGGAAUCGGAGGUAUUUCACGGGAUAGCCUUUCUGACAAGCUCUUUUUAGUGAAAUCGUUCUGAUUUUGACCGAACUAUUCCCACCUAAACAUAAAGAGCUUAGAUAGUCUCACUGUGAAAUGUUCGCAUCCAAGUCGUUAUUCCUUAAUGAGAAGAGGCGUAAAGAGAUAGUUCUGUCACGUCUCUAUGUCGACCAAGGUUAUUUGUCUAAUAGAAAGCGUUCUCCUGCAGCCGUUGAAGUUUGUUUAUCAAAAACGGACGAUCUCUUCCUCAUAUUCAUACGUGUGUUUGGUGAUUUGUGUCUUGGGUCGUCGCUUUCUCGAAGGAGACUUUGAAUGUGGGCUCUGGAGGUGCCUGUGUUACUAGGGUGUCUCCCCUGUGCUUCUCUUUAGUAAGAUUUUGCACGGACGGCUUGAUUCCUUAUUCAGAUUCCGAACUGUUAUUAAGAGGUCGUAUCUUUCCUUUUCUUGAGGCUGUAAGGGGGGUCGUCCCCUUUCAUUUUGAACUUCGUGAGUAAGUAAGUCGUGGCGCGCUCCUUCCGCACCCCGGUAUCAAAAUCUUCUUAACCAUCUCGAACUCCGAGUGCUUUCCAAGGUUAGGGUUGGUGGGGCCUUAUACCCGAAUUAAUGGAAUUCAUUCAAUGCGUAGACAGAUCAGGGUCGAAAUUGGUAUGGUACCUAGAAAUAUCAUAGGAGAAGAAAGCAUUACUUCUGAGCUCUGCUCUUUCUUUCAAACUCAAAAUAUCAUCAUAAGUGAAUAAGUGAGUGAGAUUGGAUUCUAGGCUCGAUGAGAUGUUAGGUAUGCCCGUUGCGUAGAGAAAGACGAAGAAAGAUUCUUUCAUGUGAAAGAGUUCCUUCUUCUGUUGAGAUUUUAUUCCUUAGGGUGUGCCCCUAGCCUGAGUAUUAUCAUAAGUGAUGCGCCUGCUUAUUGGCCUUCUGUCUCUCGUGGACACCGGAGAGCUACCGAUGGUGGAAACAACUAUCUACCAAUGACGAGAUGACUGAGGUUGCGUGCGCCGCUCCGUCAAAGCUUGAUUCUAGGUGAAGGUGAAACUCCCAGGCGCUGGCUCUGGUUUCGUGUAGCUGUCGUGGAUCCUCUCUCGGUUAGGGUCUCCCCCCUACCUACUCCCUCACUCGCUCUCUUUGCUGCGAAUUCCCUGUGUUAAGCAUAUGGGCUCUGAAGCCCAGUGAGCACUUUCAGACGACUGCCUGAAUCAAAUAGGAGGGCAGGACCCUCUUUCACUCUAGUUAGAUGAAGCCCCUGGGAUUAUUGAACGUAAAUCAGUGCACGAGCCUAUGCAAACAGGUUUAAAAGCAAAAAAGAAAUUCCUUUUUUUGAGCUCCCGAAUCAUCAAUUAGACAAAUUUUCUUUGACUUUUGAAGACUUGCCUACAGAAAACAGCGAAUUACUUUCUGCCAGGCUCAGGAAUUCUACUUUCUAUUACUUUCUAUUGAUUUUUUUUUGAAAGUAGCGCAAGGCGAGCCGAGGCUGCUGGACCACCAGAUUGUUGGACUGGCACCACAGACGAGAAGCUUUUACGUAUUACAGAAAAGCAACUCAAUCGAAUCGCUGAAAAAAAAAUGCCCUAGCCAAAAUUUGGAAAGGGCUACGUUCUUCGGCAUGGGGUUGCCGGGCUCGCCCCAAGACCAAAAAGACAGCAUCUAUCUCAUCCUUGAAAAUGAGAUAGAUGAGCUUGAUCUUAGCCAACGCCUCAAAACGGUCCAAAAAUGGAAUAAGGAGUCCGAAGUGGGUUCCCCGGAGAGUGGCUUCUGGUUGAUGAUAGUCGAAGAGACUAUUAGGUUUUGGGGCUCUGCAUAAUAUUUCCCUUGACUGUAAGGAAGGGAAACAUCAUUUUUUUCAUUCUUUUCUUAUGAGGUCGUGUACAACAACCUUAACCGCACAAGCCUGGGCUGGGCCUACCUCCAUCCCUAGAUGAGCCGUAUGAGGCGGAAGCUCCAUGUACGGUUUUGAAGCCGAGCCUUUCCAGCAAUGGGCCUAGGGACCGAUAUGAUGAUUGGUUUAGGUAGGGCGGCCGGCCUACUACGGGCACCUGUAGGGAUUAGUGUGUGAGACCGCGAUCCACAAACUGACGCAUGGGACUCACCCUUUACUUGGGAAUAGAGAAGGUCACCAUAGCAUGUCACAAGAGCGAGGCGAGGGUUUGAACCCUACUGCGAGAGGGACGCCUCGCGAGCCGGGCUUUUAGAGAUGAGGCUUUUUGGCAAAUCCAAGUCAAUUUUGGGCCACCAAACCCUGCAACUGAUGAGAAGGCCCUAUGGAGUAAAGGGAAGCGUGUACGUUGUCACACUCCCAGCCUUCCAAAGGUACCUAGAGGACGGGCCAGACGCAGCAGAGCGACGACCGGGGAGCGGGUUCCCCACUGGAAGGGGGACAGGAGACGGCCAUCUCAAGGCACAUCACGACCUACAGGCAACACCGGCGAGACCUGGGAAAGCAACCCGAUUGGGUGUCAGAGGAUCCAUAGUACCUGCAGCCUCCCGGACUUCAUAUUCAUCAUUUUCAAAAGCGAGGGGAAGGGAUCUCUUUUCUGCAACGGAAAAAAAAGGGAGCAGAUUUGACUCGGCACAAC